AACGGAGAGGGCAAGCGUUAUCUAUCAUAACUGGGCGUAAAGUGUCCGUAGACUGUAAAGUAAGUUACUUAUUAAAACUUAAAGCCUAACUUUAAGCCAGUUUGUAAUACUGCUUUACUUGAGUUUUAUACAGAAAAGUAGAAUUUUAUAUGUAAGGUUAAAAUCUUAAUAUAUAUAAAGGAAUACCUGUAGCGAAGGCGACUUUUUGGUAAAAACUGACGUUGAGGGACGAAAGUGUUGGGAGCAAACAGG
RNAcentral lists this ribosomal RNA (252 nucleotides) under uncultured bacterium. RNAcentral's name for it is "partial 16S ribosomal RNA". It matches the Rfam family "Bacterial small subunit ribosomal RNA", at positions 524 to 776 of the family's 1533-position model. The record is from RNAcentral.